Molecule: ribosomal RNA, 498 nt
Filed under: uncultured bacterium
Lineage: Bacteria
Description: bacterial SSU rRNA
Rfam family: Bacterial small subunit ribosomal RNA
Source: RNAcentral
CGAGUUUGAUCAUGGCUCAGAUUGAACGCUGGCGGCAUGCCUUACACAUGCAAGUCGAACGGUAGAGUAGCAAUACUCGAGAGUGGCGAACGGGUGAGUAACAUAUCGGAACGUGCCCAGUCGUGGGGGAUAACGUAGCGAAAGUUACGCUAAUACCGCAUACGAUCUAAGGAUGAAANCGGGGGAUCGCAAGACCUCGCGCGAUUGGAGCGGCCGAUAUCAGAUUAGGUAGUUGGUGGGGUAAAGGCUCACCAAGCCAACGAUCUGUAGCUGGUCUGAGAGGACGACCAGCCACACUGGAACUGAGACACGGUCCAGACUCCUACGGGAGGCAGCAGUGGGGAAUUUUGGACAAUGGACGCAAGUCUGAUCCAGCCAUUCCGCGUGCAGGAUGAAGGCCCUCGGGUUGUAAACUGCUUUUGUACGGAACGAAAAGGUUUCUCUUAAUACGAGGAGCUCAUGACGGUACCGUAAGAAUAAGCACCGGCUAACUACGUG